RNAcentral lists this long non-coding RNA (2221 nucleotides) under Jatropha curcas. Its description in RNAcentral is "long non-coding RNA (JCUR_LNC003366)". The record is from RNAcentral. Lineage: Eukaryota; Viridiplantae; Streptophyta; Magnoliopsida; Malpighiales; Euphorbiaceae.
UUCUCUCCUGAUUGUUUUUCUCCCAAGUCAAGGUGGAAUCUAUUUUCCAGGAAUUCUGGCAUGUAGAAGAAUUCUGGAAUCAAUUCCUUCACAUCAGAUGUGUUGCCCUUCCCAGCAGCACUUAACCAAGUGUCUUUAACACUAUUGAAAAGUCGAUCAGCAUGAUCAAAUUGCCCACCCUGCAGCUUUUGAUUCUCUGCACUAAAUGGUGGCAGGCGUAGAAGAUAGAAGAGAACAAUUCCAGCACUAGAAUAGUGAGAACCAUAAUGAAAUUUUGGAACCUCUGGAUCAUCCCAGCUCUCAUAUCUGAAUAGGGAAAAAAAUGAAAAUAAUAAAUAAGCAGCAAAAAGAAAAAAUAAUGGCAGUUUAUACAAAAAAUUAACCUUUUCUUAAAUUCCUCUUCCCCUUCUGGCGUCUGACAGCCCAUUGGUUUGUCAAGCUUGCGAAAUGUUUUAGGAUUGGAUAAAUCCAGAUUUUCACUCUCAUAGUCUGCCAGUACCCAUGGAAACACUGGAUAUUGGGUGAGAUCACUGUAUCCCCUCCCAGCCAAUGUGUUCAGAUGCAUAAGGUAUUGGAAAUUACUAAUUUCUCCAUUUUGCCACCUUUUUGAGAAGGAUUUAGCCACUAUCUUAAAUAAACGACUGCCUUCAUUACUUUCUUGUUUAGUUGACCCAGAAAUUGUAGUGUCCAACCUGUAGCAAGGAAGAAAUUUUUGAAACAAGCCACGAGUUUUUGAGGACAAGGAAGAAACAAUAGGACAAUGUUAACAGGCACCACAGCAUAUGGAGAUCAAGAAUAUAAAUCCUUGAUGAUACCUAAGAUAUCAAAGGAAAAGAGAUCUCUCGAAAUAGAUUUGGGGACACUAUUAUCCAGUAGCAUGUGAAAACUGUAAUACAAGCUAUAUAUUCAGCAGACAGAGACACAAAACCAAUCUAACCAGCUAUUUAUUUCAACAGCAUCACUAUUUCAGAGCAUGUUUUAAGAUAUUUCAACUAGAGGAGGCUAGUUUAUGGGCUGGGAAGAAACAUGUAAAACUCUGUAGUCAGUGAAUGACAAUCGCAAACCUAGCAUUCACUUCAAAGCUUUUGAGAGACAGAGGCCCAAUUGGUUGCUGAGAAAUUCUAGAAUAAUAGACCAAAAUGCAAAACACAACAAAAAACCUGGGGAGAAGCACAAACAAAAACAACAUUGGAUCCCCAUUUGUUUUCAGUCUUUUCUCAUGGAAUAGUAUGUGCUCAACCUGUAAAGCUAUAUAGUUUUCUGACAUAUAGCAGUUUGGUUAGGAAUGCAUAACACACCUUCCCUCUCUGUUUAUAUCCAAAUAUGAGGUCUAUCCAGUGAUGCAGAUUUUGAGAAACAUAAUCAGAUUCCAACGCUUCUCGAUGCUUCUUAAUGAAUUCUCUAGCACUUCCUUUGGCCCAUGGAGGCAAGAAGACAUCACCCACCUUAAGAAAGACCAAUAUUAUAAGUUUACAAUUUUAAAUACCCAAAGCAAGGGAAAAUGAAUUGCACAUAGUGGAAAACCAACCUUCUCUCCUGAUUGUUUUUCUCCCAAGUCAAGGUGGAAUCUAUUUUCCAGGAAUUCUGGCAUGUAGAAGAAUUCUGGAAUCAAUUCCUUCACAUCAGAUGUGUUGCCCUUCCCAGCAGCACUUAACCAAGUGUCUUUAACACUAUUGAAAAGUCGAUCAGCAUGAUCAAAUUGCCCACCCUGCAGCUUUUGAUUCUCUGCACUAAAUGGUGGCAGGCGUAGAAGAUAGAAGAGAACAAUUCCAGCACUAGAAUAGUGAGAACCAUAAUGAAAUUUUGGAACCUCUGGAUCAUCCCAGCUCUCAUAUCUGAAUAGGGAAAAAAAUGAAAAUAAUAAAUAAGCAGCAAAAAGAAAAAAUAAUGGCAGUUUAUACAAAAAAUUAACCUUUUCUUAAAUUCCUCUUCCCCUUCUGGCGUCUGACAGCCCAUUGGUUUGUCAAGCUUGCGAAAUGUUUUAGGAUUGGAUAAAUCCAGAUUUUCACUCUCAUAGUCUGCCAGUACCCAUGGAAACACUGGAUAUUGGGUGAGAUCACUGUAUCCCCUCCCAGCCAAUGUGUUCAGAUGCAUAAGGUAUUGGAAAUUACUAAUUUCUCCAUUUUGCCACCUUUUUGAGAAGGAUUUAGCCACUAUCUUAAAUAAACGACUGCCUUCAUUACUUUCUUGUUUAGUUGACCCAGAAAUUGUAGUGUCCAAC